Molecule: ribosomal RNA, 468 nt
Filed under: uncultured bacterium
Lineage: Bacteria
Description: partial 16S ribosomal RNA
Rfam family: Bacterial small subunit ribosomal RNA
Source: RNAcentral
GACGAACGCUGGCGGCGUGCUUAACACAUGCAAGUCGAACGGAAAGGCCCUGCUUUUGUGGUGUGCUCGAGUUGCGAACGGGUGAGUAACACGUGAGUAACCUGCCCUUGACUUUGGGAUAACUUCAGGAAACUGGGGCUAAUACCGGAUAGGAGCUCCUGCUGCAUGGUGGGGGUUGGAAAGUUUCGGCGGUUGGGGAUGGACUCGCGGGUUAUCAGCUUGUUGGUGGGGUAGUGGCUUACCAAGGCUUUGACGGGUAGCCGGCCUGAGAGGGUGACCGGCCACAUUGGGACUGAGAUACGGCCCAGACUCCUACGGGAGGCAGCAGUGGGGAAUAUUGCACGAUGGGCGGAAGCAUGAUGCAGCAACGCCGCGUGCGGGAUGACGGCCUUCGGGUUGUAAACCGCUUUCGCCUGUGACGAAGCGUGAGUGACGGUAAUGGGUAAAGAAGCACCGGCUAACUACGUG